This 558-nucleotide ribosomal RNA is filed under the name Saccharomyces cerevisiae (brewer's yeast). RNAcentral describes it as "eukaryotic LSU rRNA". It matches the Rfam family "Eukaryotic large subunit ribosomal RNA", at positions 83 to 657 of the family's 3401-position model. Lineage: Eukaryota; Fungi; Ascomycota; Saccharomycetes; Saccharomycetales; Saccharomycetaceae. The record is from RNAcentral.
GUACGGCGAGUGAGCGGCAAAAGCUCAAAUUUGAAAUCUGGUACCUUCGGUGCCCGAGUUGUAAUUUGGAGAGGGCAACUUUGGGGCCGUUCCUUGUCUAUGUUCCUUGGAACAGGACGUCAUAGAGGGUGAGAAUCCCGUGUGGCGAGGAGUGCGGUUCUUUGUAAAGUGCCUUCGAAGAGUCGAGUUGUUUGGGAAUGCAGCUCUAAGUGGGUGGUAAAUUCCAUCUAAAGCUAAAUAUUGGCGAGAGACCGAUAGCGAACAAGUACAGUGAUGGAAAGAUGAAAAGAACUUUGAAAAGAGAGUGAAAAAGUACGUGAAAUUGUUGAAAGGGAAGGGCAUUUGAUCAGACAUGGUGUUUUGUGCCCUCUGCUCCUUGUGGGUAGGGGAAUCUCGCAUUUCACUGGGCCAGCAUCAGUUUUGGUGGCAGGAUAAAUCCAUAGGAAUGUAGCUUGCCUCGGUAAGUAUUAUAGCCUGUGGGAAUACUGCCAGCUGGGACUGAGGACUGCGACGUAAGUCAAGGAUGCUGGCAUAAUGGUUAUAUGCCGCCCGUCUUGA